RNAcentral lists this ribosomal RNA (497 nucleotides) under uncultured bacterium. Its description in RNAcentral is "partial 16S ribosomal RNA". It matches the Rfam family "Bacterial small subunit ribosomal RNA", at positions 28 to 507 of the family's 1533-position model. The record is from RNAcentral.
GAUGAACGCUGGCGGCGUGCCUAAUACAUGCAAGUCGAGCGAACGGACGAGAAGCUUGCUUCUCUGAUGUUAGCGGCGGACGGGUGAGUAACACGUGGAUAACCUACCUAUAAGACUGGGAUAACUUCGGGAAACCGGAGCUAAUACCGGAUGAUAUUUUGAACCGCAUGGUUCAAAGGUGAAAGACGGUCUUGCUGUCACUUAUAGAUGGAUCCGCGCUGCAUUAGCUAGUUGGUAAGGUAACGGCUUACCAAGGCAACGAUGCAUAGCCGACCUGCGAGGGUGGUCGGCCACACGGGAACUGAGACACGGUCCAGACUCCUACGGGAGGCAGCAGUAGGGAAUCUUCCGCAAUGGGCGAAAGCCUGACGGAGCAACGCCGCGUGAGUGAUGAAGGUCUUCGGAUCGUAAAACUCUGUUAUUAGGGAAGAACAUAUGUGUAAGUAACUGUGCACAUCUUGACGGUACCUAAUCAGAAAGCCACGGCUAACUACGUG